This 866-nucleotide ribosomal RNA is filed under the name uncultured Thiobacillus sp. RNAcentral's name for it is "bacterial SSU rRNA". It matches the Rfam family "Bacterial small subunit ribosomal RNA", at positions 632 to 1501 of the family's 1533-position model. Lineage: Bacteria; Pseudomonadati; Pseudomonadota; Betaproteobacteria; Nitrosomonadales; Thiobacillaceae. The record is from RNAcentral.
ACUGGCAGUCUAGAGUGUGUCAGAGGGGGGUGGAAUUCCACGUGUAGCAGUGAAAUGCGUAGAUAUGUGGAGGAACACCAAUGGCGAAGGCAGCCCCCUGGGAUAACACUGACGCUCAUGUACGAAAGCGUGGGUAGCAAACAGGAUUAGAUACCCUGGUAGUCCACGCCCUAAACGAUGUCAACUGGUUGUUGGGGGAGUGAAAUCCCUUAGUAACGAAGCUAACGCGUGAAGUUGACCGCCUGGGGAGUACGGUCGCAAGAUUAAAACUCAAAGGAAUUGACGGGGACCCGCACAAGCGGUGGAUGAUGUGGAUUAAUUCGAUGCAACGCGAAAAACCUUACCUACCCUUGACAUGUCCGGAAUCCUGCAGAGAUGCGGGAGUGCCCGAAAGGGAAUCGGAACACAGGUGCUGCAUGGCUGUCGUCAGCUCGUGUCGUGAGAUGUUGGGUUAAGUCCCGCAACGAACGCAACCCUUAUCAUUAGUUGCUACGCAAGGGCACUCUAAUGAGACUGCCGGUGACAAACCGGAGGAAGGUGGGGAUGACGUCAAGUCCUCAUGGCCCUUAUGGGUAGGGCUUCACACGUCAUACAAUGGUCGGUACAGAGGGUUGCCAAGCCGCGAGGUGGAGCCAAUCCCAGAAAGCCGAUCGUAGUCCGGAUUGUUCUCUGCAACUCGAGAGCAUGAAGUCGGAAUCGCUAGUAAUCGCGGAUCAGCAUGCCGCGGUGAAUACGUUCCCGGGUCUUGUACACACCGCCCGUCACACCAUGGGAGUGGAAUCUGCCAGAAGUAGGUAGCCUAACCGCAAGGAGGGCGCUUACCACGGUGGGUUUCAUGACUGGGGUGAAGUCGUAACAAGGUAACC